UACGAAUGUGGCAAGCGUUGUUCGGAAUCACUGGGCGUAAAGAAUGCGUAGGCGGCUUAACAAGUCAGGAGUGAAAUCCUCGGGCUCAACCUGAGAACUGCUUCUGAAACUGUUUUGCUAGAGUCCCGGAGGGGUUAGCGGAAUUCCGAGUGUAGAGGUGAAAUUCGCAGAUAUUCGGAGGAACACCAGUGGCGAAGGCGGCUAACUGGACGGGAACUGACGCUGAGGCAUGAAAGUGUGGGGAUCAAACAGG
RNAcentral lists this ribosomal RNA (253 nucleotides) under uncultured bacterium. RNAcentral describes it as "partial 16S ribosomal RNA". It matches the Rfam family "Bacterial small subunit ribosomal RNA", at positions 524 to 776 of the family's 1533-position model. The record is from RNAcentral.